GGUUAAGUUACUAAGGGCACGCGGUGGAUGCCUUGGCACAGAGAGGCGAUGAAGGACGUGGUAAGCUGCGAAAAGCCCCGCUGAGGUGCAAACAACCUUUGACGCGGGGAUCUCCGAAUGGGAUAACCCGGCCCGCCGCGAGGCGGGUCAUCGUACGCUGAAUACAUAGGCGUGCGAGGCGAACGCAGGGAACUGAAACAUCUAAGUACCUGCAGGAACGGAAAACAACCGUGACUCCCUUAGUAGCGGCGAGCGAACGGGGACGAGCCUAAACCGGUUUGCACGGCAAAGCCUGUCGGCGUUGUGCGGCCGGGGUCGUGGGAACCGACUGGUCCGGCGGCAGACGGACCGGGGAGUGACAAACCGCAUGGGUAGACGAACAGGCUGGAACGCCUGACCAGAGAGGGUGAUAGUCCCGUAGCCGAAACGUAUGCGGCUCCCGUCGGAGUUCCCAAGUAGGGCGGGACACGUGGAAUCCCGCUCGAAUUCACCAGGACCAUCUGGUAAGGCUAAGUACUCCUCUGUGACCGAUAGUGAACCAGUACCGUGAGGGAAAGGUGAAAAGAACCCCGUGAGGGGAGUGAAAUAGUACCUGAAACCGUGUGCCUACAAGCGGUCGGAGGAAAGGUCGGCUUUCGGGCCGGCCGGACUGACGGCGUGCCUAUUGAAUAAUGACCCGGCGAGUUACUGCUCUGUCGCAAGGGUAAGCGAAACACUCGCGCACCCGGAGCGAAAGCGAGUCUGAAUAGGGCGACAAGUGGCAGGGCGUAGACCCGAAGCCAAGUGAUCUAUGCAUGGCCAGGAUGAAAGCUCGGUAAAACGAGCCGGAGGUCCGAACCCACCAGUGUUGAAAAGCUGGGGGAUGAGCUGUGCAUAGGGGUGAAAGGCCAAUCAAACUUGGAAAUAGCUGGUUCUCCCCGAAAUAGCUUUAGGGCUAGCCUCGGAUCACAGUUUCACGGAGGUAGAGCACUGAAUGGGCUAGGGGGCCGACAAGCCUACCAAACCCAAUCAAACUCCGAAUGCCGUGAAAUGUUCUCCGGGAGUCAGGCAGCGGGGGAUAAGCUUCGUUGCCAAAAGGGAAACAACCCAGACCGCCGGCUAAGGUCCCCAAGUCGUGCUCAGUGCGAAAGGAUGUGGAAUUACUGAAACAGCUAGGAUGUUGGCUUAGAAGCAGCCACCAUUUAAAGAGUGCGUAACAGCUCACUAGUCUAGUGAUUCUGCGCCGAGAAUAUAUGGGACUAUGCACGGCACCGAAGCCGCGGGUUCGCGCGCAAGCGCGAGCGGUAGGGGAGCAUCGUGUCCGAAUCGAAGGCCGAUCGUAAGGUCGACUGGAUCUGACACGAGAGAUUAUGUCGGGACGAGUAGCGAUAAUGCAGGACUAUAAACCUGCACACCGUAAGCCUAAGGUUUCCUGGGGAAGGUUAAACCUCCCAGGGUUAGUCGGGCCCUAAGACGAGGUCGAAAGGCGUAGUCGAUGGCAAACAGGCGAAAAUUCCUGUACCUGGACGGUCGCGUCUGAGCUAUGGGGUUACGCAGGAGUGAAAGGUCAGUCGGGUGAUGGUUGUCCCGCCCCAAGCGGGUAGGCGGGGAGCGCAGGCAAAUCCGCGCUCCUAACGCUGAGACGUGAUGGAUAAGGCCCGUAAAACGGCCGAAAUGACCCUAAGCAGACUGCCAAGAAAACCCUCUAUGCGAGCGGCCGGCCGGCCCGUACCGCAAUCCGCCACAGGUGGGCGAGGAGAGUAUCCUCAGGUGCUCGGGUGAACUCACGUUAAGGAACUAGGCAAAUUGACCCCGUAACUUCGGAACAAGGGGUGCCCCCAGUAGGUGAUGAUUUUUCUGUCGGAGCCGAAAGGGGCCGCAGAGAAAUGGCCGCGGUGACUGUUUACUAAAAACACAUGUCUCUGCCAAGUCUCACAAGACGACGUAUAGGGACUGAUACCUGCCCGGUGCUGGAAGGUUAAAAGGAGAUGUCAGCCGCAAGGCGAAGCGUUGAAUUGAAGCCCCAGUAAACGGCGGCCGUAACUAUAACGGUCCUAAGGUAGCGAAAUUCCUUGUCGGGUAAAUUCCGACCUGCACGAAUGGUAUAACAACUGCGGCACUGUCUCAACGUGAGGCCCGGUGAAACUGUAGCAACGGUGAAGAUGCCGUUUUCCCGUAUCGGGACGGAAAGACCCCGUGAACCUUUACUAUAUCCUGACAUUGGUGUUUGGUGUCGCAUGUGUAGCAUAGGUGGGAGGCGUUGAAGCUGGCACGCUAGUGUCGGUGGAGCCACCGGUGAAAUACCACCCUUGUGUCAUUGGACAUCUAACCUCGGGCCCUCUAGCGGGUCCAGGAACAGUGUCAGGUGGGUAGUUUAACUGGGGCGGUUACCUCCUAAAGUGUAACGGAGGUGUGCAAAGGUUCCCUCAGGCCGAAUGGUAACCGGCUGUAGAGCGCAAAGGUACAAGGGAGCUUAACUGCGAGACUGACUCGUCGAGCAGGUGCGAAAGCAGGUCUUAGUGAUCCGGCGGUUGCGAAUGGAAGCGCCGUCGCUCAACGGAUAAAAGGUACUCCGGGGAUAACAGGCUUAUCUCCUCCGAGAGUUCAUAUCGACGAGGGGGUUUGGCACCUCGAUGUCGGCUCAUCGCAUCCUGGGGCUGGAGAAGGUCCCAAGGGUUUGGCUGUUCGCCAAUUAAAGCGGUACGUGAGCUGGGUUUAGAACGUCGUGAGACAGUUCGGUCCCUAUCUGAUACGGGCGUAGGAGAUUUGAGGAGAGUCGUCCCUAGUACGAGAGGACCAGGAUGAACCGGCCGCCAGUGCACCUGUUGUGACGCCAGUUGCAUCGCAGGGUAGCUGCGCCGGGAAGGGAUAAGCGCUGAAAGCAUCUAAGCGCCAAGCCCACUCCAAGAUGAGAUCUCCCGAACUUCGGUUCCUGAAGACCCCUGGAAGAUGACCAGGUUGAUAGGUCACUGGUGUACGCGCAGCGAUGCGUUGAGCCUAGUGAUACUAAUCGGUCGUGCGACUUAACCGU
RNAcentral lists this ribosomal RNA (3010 nucleotides) under Candidatus Zixiibacteriota bacterium. Its description in RNAcentral is "23S ribosomal RNA". It matches the Rfam family "Bacterial large subunit ribosomal RNA". The record is from RNAcentral. Lineage: Bacteria; Pseudomonadati; Candidatus Zixiibacteriota.